UUGACGCUUUGACGUUUGGGAGCCCAUAGGCGAGUCACGGAUCAAAGUAGCUCUCUGAUUAGCAGACACCGAAUAACACUUCUGCUAGAAAAUGACAGAGAGUCAAGUUCGUCAGAAUUUUCACAAAGAUAGUGAAGAUGCCAUUAAUAAACAAAUAAAUAUGGAACUUUAUGCAAGCUAUGUGUAUUUGUCAAUGGCUUACUACUUUGAUCGUGAUGAUGUUGCGUUACCUGGUCUACACAAGUACUUUAAGCAAGCAUCAGAGGAAGAAAGAGAGCAUGCUACAAAGUUUAUGAAAUACAUGAAUAAGCGUGGAGGUCGAAUUGUUCUCAGCUGUAUUAAUGCUCCAGAUUACAACGAGUGGGGAACAGCAGAAGGUGCAAUGCGUGAAGCAUUGCAGCUGGAGAAAAAAGUAAACCAGAGUCUCUUGGAUCUCCACAAAAUUGCCACAGCUUAUGAUGAUGCUAAUCUUUGUGACUUCUUGGAGACAGAAUUCUUACAAGAACAAGUGGAUUCUAUUAAAGAUAUUGCAGAUAAGCUCACAAAUAUUUGCCGUGUAGGCGAAGGUUUAGGAAUUUUUGUAUUUGAUAGAGAAUUACAUUAAGAUUUAAAAUUAUCGAUCUUCACUUGCUACUGCUUUACAUUUGUGCAUCAUAGUACCUAGUCAGUUCUCAUAAAUUUCAAGCCAUACAGCUGUUCUACUGCUGCACAUUAUACUUGUCCUCAUUUCUGAGGGCUAUUGAAGUGUUUGUCAACAGCCACAAAUGUUAUUGGUAUUUUACUUUGUAGUUUUAAGUACGGCAAUUGUACAAUUAUGUAAAAACUGUUAUUUUAUUGAACAGAUUACUAUUUAUGUACAAAGAUUUUUUAUCUUUUAUAGAUUUUUAAAAUUUUAUAUUUUUAUGUUUAUAUCCUUAUAUUCCUGUCACAGAACAUAUAUUGUUUUUUAAACCUAAGGCAGUUAAUUUGGGUUCAUAAUCACAUUCCUCAGACCUGAAUGCACGCAGUUUGCUAAUCAUAUUGAGUGGGCAUGUGUAAAAUUUAAGUACCACAAUGUGCAGUUAUAAUAAACAUGCUGAUUCUCUGAAGAAACAAUCCAAUAUCUAUCUGUGAUGUUUUUGGUCUAUCUAAUUGAACUUCUUGUGUGAUCUCAACAAAUUAAAUACUUUCUCAUUUUCAUUAUGCUCUUCUGUGAAUGCAUUGAUGAAAAUGACAGCAGCCAUUUGUAUAUCUCCCUCAAAAUACUUCUUAAAAAGGUUUGUAUCAAUAUUUGAAUUAUACUUGAAUAUAAUUACAUUCCUUCCUGGAUUUUCCUUUGCUUGUUGUAAAAAGUUUUUCUUAUUUUUAUUAUUAUUAUUAUUUUAGUCUUAAUACAGAACUAUCACAUUGUUGCCCUGCAUUUAGUUUUCCCUCAGAAUUUCAUGGCAUGAACACAAUGUCUUCAUAAACUGUAAAUGGUGCCUACCUCUCAAAGCAUCAUGCCACUGUUCCUCGUGUUGUUUGCGUGUUCACUAUCUGCCAGACCAAUAAGUGACAACUAGCUAAUACAAAUAGCUCUUUUUUCCUGAAGCACAGUUUCACCCUGUUCAUCAAAAGGAACGUGCACCAGCCUUACUAUGAACACAGUGAUUACGACUUGAUUUGGCAUUCAGUGAAGUUUGAGUCGUGCUUUUAUGCUUCUGUCCUUAGUAGAACAAAUCAGAUGUUGCUACUGUCAGUUUCACUUCCACUUAUUUUUCUAGUUUAAUAUGCUCCUUCAGAGAGUCAGCGUGUGUGCGCCCACACACGAAGUGCUUGAUUUGUGCCACUAUGCCGGACCAGUAUAUGAAAAAAUAAGCAUUAAAAUAACAGUUGAAGACAUCUAAAUUUAAGAAAAAAAGGCACCCCCGAAGGUCACAGUACUUUAUAUACAUGUAUGACGACGUUUAUUUGGCUUAAUGUGACCAUAGCAUUUUUACACACGAGACUCAAUAUGACUGUCAAACUAUAUGUACUCAAGUCUGAACAUUAUUCCCAACCAAAAUUAAUUACCUGAUGAAUAAAGAAAAUAUGAUGUGUAACUGGAAUAAAAUAAUGUAGAAAUACCUUCUUAGAUCACUAGAAAAAUUUUGCUGUGAUGAUUUUGUUGCAAUUAAUGAAUAUUGUUAUGUGUGUAACUGAAAUGCAGUAUUAUUGUGUUGUUAAAUUAUUUUAGCAACAUUCAUUUUAGCUCUAGGGUCGAACAUUUAAUUUGGAAAACUAAAGAAACAAGAAAUCAUUUGACCUAAAAAUUCUUAUUCACAUUGCAAUAGCUUUAAUUUUGUAGUAUUUAUUUUAAUAGACUGGUUUCUUGCUAGAUUUAUGGUAUUUUCAUAUGUAAUAUAAUAGCAAACAGUCUCCAGUUAUAUUCAGGUUUUGUAUUCUUCUUAACGCAAAAUAACUUCAUCAUUUAUAAUUGCAAAACCACCACUCUGUGAAGUGAGCCAGUUUGUGAAAACCAAGUUACCUUCUGUCAGUCACAUAACCUCCACAUACAAGAAUGUAUCUUUAAUAGUGUAGUUGGCAAGAGUUCACACAGUAUGCCAUUAAGUGAAUAAUAUUAAACUAGAAGUUUUGAGUUCAGCAAUAAUUGCAUAAACUGAUAAUGAAUUCUUGAUCAUUACUUCAAUAUUUCUACCAUGGUUUCUUUUGUCUGUGGGAAUUUAGCUGUAAAUGUGCCAUAAUGAAGAGCUUCAUUAUAUUUAUAAUGCUAUUUAUUUUCAUUAUUUAAUAGUCCCAUGAUAUUACUGGUGAAAUUGACUGAUUCUUGAGUAAUGGCAGCUAAAUGAAAUACAUUUUUGCUUUUCUUUUAGUUUGUGUUGUGGAGAUAAUAUUCAUUACAAAGCAUGUUGAAACUGAGUACAGCUUUCUCUUUAAGAAUUAUGUGUGUGUUUGAUACUUAAUGUUUAGAAUAAGAUGUUUUAAUUACUUCCUUUUAUCACCAUCUGACAGUGUUUUUUGCUUGUAAAUGUAACUACUGUAAUGUUUUGUGCAUUCAAGACAUCUCAAAGUUACAAAGCUUCCUAUUUACAGAUAUGAACUGUGAUAUGACGUGUAUUGUUGAGGUGCUUGAUUUGCAGAGUCUGCAUAAAUAAGAGUCUGUAAAGUAUCAAGAAAAUAUGAGACAGAGUGGAGCUUGACUGUAAAGAGGUUGGCAACUGUGCGCUGUAUGUGAGGCUAUUGCUGUCUCCUGUGGUCUGCUAUGUGGAG
Molecule: unclassified non-coding RNA, 3228 nt
Filed under: Schistocerca americana (American grasshopper)
Lineage: Eukaryota; Metazoa; Arthropoda; Insecta; Orthoptera; Acrididae
Description: soma ferritin, transcript variant X1
Source: RNAcentral